UGGGCAACUUGGUUAGCUUCAGAGUCCCAUAAAUUCUCCAAAAAACAAGGCAGCCUUCAAGGAUGGUAGGAAAAAUGCUGUUCAUAACUGAGACAUCCAGUUAUAAAAAGCUGGAGGUAUUAAUAGUGAGUAGGUUUAUUAGAUUUGUAGACUUCAGCAAGCAGGGAAGGGCUGGAAACAUUUUAGGAGAUGGGAUUUUAAUUCCAAAUGUUCUUCCUUAAAUACAGGAAGAUUUCAUUUAGCCACUUGAAAGCCAUCUAGAAAUAAAGGAUAAUAAUGCACUAAAGCAACAUUUUGGGAAAAGAUGCCAAGCCCCAAUGAAGAAGGCAGAACAGCACCAGUCAGGACUGGCCCAGAUAUGACUGAUUUCUGCCUUGGGACAGCUGUUUGAUUCAUCUGCCAGUGGUGUCAGCCUGUGCACUGAAAAGGCUAUAUCAGCCCUGGACUGCACCUCCUUAGUCUCUUGUCAGGAAGCAUCGUUGUGCAACAGUGUCAUCCACAAUUUUAAUGAUGACAUCUCAUUUCAGAAGGGCGUGAGCUGAAUCCCAAUGAAUAAAUUCAUGAAGUUUAACCUCUCAGUGACCCCAUUUCUACUGUGUUUUCUUUUAGUCCCUCCCCAACUCAUUAGCUCUCCUGACAAAAGCAGAUGAAAACAUGAGUUUUUAUAACUGUGCUUGAAAGAGGAAGAAAACAUGGGAAGAAGAAAGGUGGAGAGAAACAUUGUGUUUGGUCUGGAAGCGAUUUGCUGUGUGUUUGGAAACAAGACAUUUUUUUUUUCCCAAGUAUGGCAUGGUUCUUAACUGGAACGACCGAUCUUGGAGCAGAAACUACAUUGACAUUAUGAUUAUGUUCAACCCUAACUAAUUUCUUUCUAAUGUACUGUGAAUGGAAUCAAGUUCAUUGAGAUGCAGCCUCUGUUCCAAGGACAUCCUGUGGCUAUCAAGAAAACCUCUGUCUCGCACUCCAUUUUCAGCAAUGUUUUCACUGUCAGCUGUCAACGUUAACACAAUAUUUAGGUUCUCUUAAAAUAAGUCAAGCCAUUUUGUCACCCCCUUACUGCUCUGACAACUGUUGAUCCUGGUCUCAAGCCGCUUUAAUGUAGUGCCAGUUUGGUGCCCAAAUUACUCGUGACAUUUCUCUUUGAGCAUCUACUUUGUUUGCUUUUUACCCCUUAGUAAGACUACAUAGAAGCCUAAAAAUGUGUUCCUGGUUAUAUUUCUCUUGAAAUAGCAACUUAUGAAUUAAGAAAACAUACAUAUUAAUCUGCAUUUUGCAAAUGUCUAGUGAGACUCAUUUCUAUGUCCCAACCUUAUGCAGUGUUAUAUCUGUUGGGUGAAUAUUUCUUUGUACUGUGUUUAUCAAUUCCUUAUCCUGUUACUAUUGUUAACUUUGGCACUGAAAACAAUCAAGUAUGAAUUUCAAUAUGCGUAAAAUUGGAAAUUGCCUUUUUUUUUUUUUUUUUUUGCUUACUAUUGUACCAUCAAUCUUUCUGACAAUCUUUUAUAUAACAUGUAACAAAAGUCUAUUUUCUCUAUUCUAUUCAUGCAUUCCAGUAAGGAUAUCUUCUGUGAAAUUCUUGUUUAUGCCAAGUAGUGGACUUCUGAAACUUUUCCUACUUCAAUUUUCUGCAAUACUACACUUACUGAAUCCAAUCAAUUCCAAUUUUAAUUCCAUUCAUUAUUUUGCAUUUAAAAUGAAAAUAAUUUAGUUGACUACCAGAGUACUGUAACUAUUUAAAGAGUACCUAUAACUUAACUUAAAUUCUUCAAUGUGUAGACAAAAUAUCUGUUAUUUUUUCUUGUUAUUCUAUACCAGGAAACAGAUAUUAGAAGAACACGAGGGAAAAUAGUUUGUUGAUGCUAGCUGAAUUUAAAGUGAAUUGUUACUGGAUGAAAACUGUUUAGAGCAAACUUAUCCUGUUUACUGAAGGAUUUUAUGGGAAGGGCUCAAAUUUGCAUGUUGAUUCAUAAAAUGUAGGAAGUCCUUCGCAUCCAUACAAUAGGAGAAGAGGACUGUUAAAAUAUGAAGUCAUCUCUCAGACAAGUAGCAAGGGAGGCAGCUAUUUGCAGUAGGAGAGCAAUCUGCAAGACUAGGAAUAGUACUGUCCAACCUAUGUAAAGUUUUCAUUGCAUACAUGAAUUUUCCGUAUCUAGAACUCAUAUAAACACAGAAAUAUAAGGAUUCUUCUUAUCUUAAAUUUCUGGACUACAUCAAGCUUGUACAACCUGACUGUGAUCAAUAAACACAAUGGAGUGAUACUUA
Long non-coding RNA from Anas platyrhynchos (mallard), 2262 nucleotides. RefSeq lists it as uncharacterized. NCBI's taxonomy places the organism in Eukaryota, Metazoa, Chordata, Aves, Anseriformes, Anatidae. The record is from RefSeq and is a predicted model, not a curated record.